Molecule: long non-coding RNA, 1711 nt
Filed under: Anas platyrhynchos platyrhynchos (common mallard)
Lineage: Eukaryota; Metazoa; Chordata; Aves; Anseriformes; Anatidae
Description: lncRNA (ENSAPLG00000023495.1)
Source: RNAcentral
CAGUGCUUACAGACAGGAUUUUGAAAACUUCAGUCAUGUUUUAUUUUAUUUAUAUCCAGGGGGGACAGGCGAGGAGGGGGACCCUGUUGGAAUUGCGCUGUGUGAAAACGGGGAGGCGUGCAGGGGGGGGGGGGGGGGAGGAAAAAUUUUUUUUUUUUUUUUUUUUUUUUAACCUUUGGUCAGGGGCCAGAAAAUUUGAAUCCUUUCAUAUUCCCUUUGUUCUCGCACUCUCUGGCAACUGGAGAGCUUUAAAAAAAAAAAAAAAAAAAAGGGAAAAAAAAAAAAAAAAAAAAGCCGGGGGAGGGGAAAAAAGGCUGGGGAAGGUGGGGUUUAACAGAAUGAAAGGCAGAGGCUGUGGUGUUCUUUCUGCGGGACUGAUUGUUCCCAGAUGUGCAUUGCAAAAACAUCUGGCUCGGGGCAGCCGCCGGACCCCCGCUCGCUGCCUGCGCCGAGGGGACGCAGAGGUCCCCCCGCCGGGGCACCUCCGGGGGCUGAUGUUUGGAGAAGCCCUGGGUGGGCGAGGGGCAGGAGGGGGGUGGCUGUGCCCCCAGCCCCCGGCCUUUUUGCGAACACGUUGUGGAAAGUCUCGGUGUCGGGUGGGCGAAGACAUCGCGGCCGCCGUCAGCUUCGCUCCACACAUCUCCCAAAAUGGGAGCCGGGGGCUGGAGGUGGUGGUGGCUCUGGGGGGGGGGACGAGGCGGUGGUGGUGGCACCGUGUCCCCAGGGGGGAUGCAGCGGCUGGCCCCAUUUCCCAGCUGAGCCCCACAAGCUGGGGAUGUUCUCAGCAGGGCCUAGGGGAGCAGAAGAGCCCCGGGUUUGGGGGAAAUUCAGAAAUUGGGUGCUCAGACUCCGGGAGAUGGGGCCGUGUGGGCUGUGGUGCCUCCAGAGCUGGGCCCUGGGCCUUGCCUGAGCUGUCCCAGGCAGGUCAGGGUGGUUUGGGGACCAAACCCAGGCCUUGCCCACCCAGUCUGGGUAAGGCCUCACAGAAGCCCGGGGCUCAUCCCCACACGAUCCCUUUCAGCCCACGUUUUGUCUGGGUUAAUCCCAGCUCCAGACGCGAGAUGGGGCAGGGCUGCGGGUGGCAGGGCCCCGGGGACCCCCCAGGGGCUUCAUUUGGGGCCCAUUCGUCCAAGCAUGGUUCUCCAAGCUCAGCUCAGGCAGGGCCUGGCCCCAUGGAUCUCCCAGAGCCUGGAAGGCAACGACCGCAGUACCUACAGGCCUGGGGAUGGGGGAAAUACGGGGACCAUAGGGGCUGCAACCCUGCUGGCAGUGCAGGGCACAACUUUUGGAAGGUGCAGUGCUUGGGUGAGCCCAGGGAUGAGGUCCUGGGAGGUGCUGAGCUCUGCUGAUGGCGCAGGAUGCGGCCCCUGGGUGGUGCAGCAGGUCUAGGACACGGGCCCCAAAAGGUGCAGGCCCUGCUGGUCCCACAGACCCAACCUUCCCCAGCGGGGACCACAGGGAGACAGGCAGCGUGGGUGCACGUGUGGGCCCAUCCUGCCACAGACAGGCUAUUUCAGCCCAAAUUUUGCAGCCAGAACAAGACACGGUGACUUGGGCUCCCCUCCACCCCUGCCUCAGUUUCCCCUUCCCAUCAGCAGGGCUGGGAGGGGUCCCCAUCCCGCAGCAGGGAAGGCGGCAUGCUCCGUCCUGGGCAGACAGACACAUUUGGUUGCUUUUCCAAGGAGGGCAGCCAUGAAAGUUUUUUGGCAGG